Molecule: unclassified non-coding RNA, 257 nt
Filed under: Akanthomyces muscarius
Lineage: Eukaryota; Fungi; Ascomycota; Sordariomycetes; Hypocreales; Cordycipitaceae
Description: sequence contains 5.8S rRNA gene
Rfam family: 5.8S ribosomal RNA (bases 1-53)
Source: RNAcentral
GAACGCACAUUGCGCCCGCCAGCAUUCUGGCGGGCAUGCCUGUUCGAGCGUCAUUUCAACCCUCGACUUCCCUUUGGGGAAAUCGGCGUUGGGGAACGGCAGCAUACCGCCGGCCCCGAAAUGAAGUGGCGGCCCGUCCGCGGCGACCUCUGCGUAGUAAUCCAACUCGCACCGGAACCCCGACGUGGCCACGCCGUAAAACACCCAACUUCUGAACGUUGACCUCGGAUCAGGUAGGAAUACCCGCUGAACUUAAG